Molecule: non-coding RNA, 107 nt
Organism: Ricinus communis (castor bean)
Lineage: Eukaryota; Viridiplantae; Streptophyta; Magnoliopsida; Malpighiales; Euphorbiaceae
Source: Rfam
GUAUCCAUAGUGUGGGCAUAAUGAUAAAGUGACUUGAAGCGAUCCCAUACUUCAUGAAAGGAUUCAGUAUCCUUUUGAUAAAAGUUGGAAAUUCCAUCCCUUAAUUC